RNAcentral lists this ribosomal RNA (301 nucleotides) under uncultured bacterium. RNAcentral's name for it is "partial 16S ribosomal RNA". It matches the Rfam family "Bacterial small subunit ribosomal RNA", at positions 509 to 807 of the family's 1533-position model. The record is from RNAcentral.
CAGUAGCCGCGGUAAUACGAAGGGUGCAAGCGUUAAUCGGAAUUACUGGGCGUAAAGCGCGCGUAGGUGGUUCAUUAAGUUGGAUGUGAAAGCCCUGGGCUCAACCUGGGAACUGCAUCCAAAACUGGUGAGCUAGAGUACGGUAGAGGGUAGUGGAAUUUCCUGUGUAGCGGUGAAAUGCGUAGAUAUAGGAAGGAACACCAGUGGCGAAGGCGACUACCUGGACUGAUACUGACACUGAGGUGCGAAAGCGUGGGGAGCAAACAGGAUUAGAUACCCGCGUAGUCCCUGUCUCUUAUAC